UGGCGGCGUGCCUAAUACAUGCAAGUCGAACGCUUCUUUUCCCACCGGAGCUUGCUCCACCGGGAAAAGAGGAGUGGCGAACGGGUGAGUAACACGUGGGUAACCUGCCCAUCAGAAGGGGAUAACACUUGGAAACAGGUGCUAAUACCGUAUAACAAUCGAAACCGCAUGGUUUCGUUUUGAAAGGCGCUUUACGGUGCCGCUGAUGGAUGGACCCGCGGUGCAUUAGCUAGUUGGUGAGGUAACGGCUCACCAAGGCCACGAUGCAUAGCCGACCUGAGAGGGUGAUCGGCCACAUUGGGACUGAGACACGGCCCAAACUCCUACGGGAGGCAGCAGUAGGGAAUCUUCGGCAAUGGACGAAAGUCUGACCGAGCAACGCCGCGUGAGUGAAGAAGGUUUUCGGAUCGUAAAACUCUGUUGUUAGAGAAGAACAAGGGUGAGAGUAACUGUUCACCCCUUGACGGUAUCUAACCAGAAAGCCACGGCUAACU
This 494-nucleotide ribosomal RNA is filed under the name Enterococcus mundtii. RNAcentral's name for it is "bacterial SSU rRNA". It matches the Rfam family "Bacterial small subunit ribosomal RNA", at positions 37 to 502 of the family's 1533-position model. Lineage: Bacteria; Bacillati; Bacillota; Bacilli; Lactobacillales; Enterococcaceae. The record is from RNAcentral.